Molecule: ribosomal RNA, 486 nt
Filed under: uncultured bacterium
Lineage: Bacteria
Description: partial 16S ribosomal RNA
Rfam family: Bacterial small subunit ribosomal RNA
Source: RNAcentral
AUUGAACGCUGGCGGCAUGCCUUACACAUGCAAGUCGAACGGCAGCGCGGACUUCGGUCUGGCGGCGAGUGGCGAACGGGUGAGUAAUACAUCGGAACGUACCCUGUUGUGGGGGAUAACUAGUCGAAAGAUUAGCUAAUACCGCAUACGACCUGAGGGUGAAAGUGGGGGACCGGAAACGGCCUCAUGCAGCAGGAGCGGCCGAUGCCUGAUUGGCUAGUUGGUGGGGUAAAGGCCCACCAAGGCGACGAUCAGUAGCUGGUCUGAGAGGACGAUCAGCCACCCUGGGACUGAGACACGGCCCAGACUCCUACGGGAGGCAGCAGUGGGGAAUUUUGGACAAUGGGGGCAACCCUGAUACAGCAAUGCCGCGUGUGUGAAGAAGGCCUUCGGGUUGUAAAGCACUUUUGUCCGGAAAGAAAUCGCGCUGGUUAAUACCUGGCGUGGAUGACGGUACCGGAAGAAUAAGCACCGGCUAACUACGUG